CGUCCGGCGACCGGCGCACGGUGAGUAACACGUAUGCAACCUGCCCUCUUCAGGGGGACAACCUUCCGAAAGGGAGGCUAAUCCCGCGUAUAUCGGUUUCGGGCAUCCGAGAUCGAGGAAAGAUUCAUCGGAAGAGGAUGGGCAUGCGGCGCAUUAGCUAGACGGCGGGGUAACGGCCCACCGUGGCGACGAUGCGUAGGGGUUCUGAGAGGAAGGUCCCCCACACUGGUACUGAGACACGGACCAGACUCCUACGGGAGGCAGCAG
This 267-nucleotide ribosomal RNA is filed under the name uncultured bacterium. Its description in RNAcentral is "partial 16S ribosomal RNA". It matches the Rfam family "Bacterial small subunit ribosomal RNA", at positions 85 to 354 of the family's 1533-position model. The record is from RNAcentral.